Carassius gibelio (silver crucian carp) is the source of this 1199-nucleotide long non-coding RNA. RefSeq lists it as uncharacterized. NCBI's taxonomy places the organism in Eukaryota, Metazoa, Chordata, Actinopteri, Cypriniformes, Cyprinidae. The transcript is spliced from 2 exons. The record is from RefSeq and is a predicted model, not a curated record.
GAAUGACAGUGUAGGCAGACUGUUUCGAUUAUGUCAUUUGCAAUGCUUUAGGUGACUGUGAGUGUGAUUAUGUGUGGGGUUCAGAGUCCAUGAACAAUCUGAGCUCAUAAAAGGUGUACUUAGUUUGAAAAAGUUUGAGUAACCCUGCCAGAUGCUUUACCACAGCAGCAAAAGUGAAGUGCUUUUAUGGUUGUGGAUUAUCUCUGCAUUUUCCACCAUUUUCUGUUGUCAAAGUUGGUUCAAGGUGAAACGCUCAUUCGAGGCGUAACACAAUACUUGGUUUUGAAAUGAUUCACAACUCACUUGACAUCAAAGGAAUGUUCUGAAUGCAUACAUCGCUUGGCCUUCGUGAAUAUAUAUUGUUCACGUAGAACUCUCCUUCCAGAUAGUGAGUGCACUGAUGCCGUUUUCCAUCUGCAGACAAAAGCCCAUGUGUGUGCGCUGUGAAGGCAUGCAGCAUGACCUGAGGGUCCGUUUCGACGCAUGACAAAACAAGCUUGAGUGCUGCAUGAGGCACAGAAUGGGGAUCUAGCAUUUGUUCCAUGACUUCAAACUCCCUUUUCCCCUUUUCUGCAUUUUUUCCUCCUUUUAGGUACUGUUUUUUUUUUUCUUUUAUCGUCAUUUUCUUCCAGCAUUUUUGCCUGGUAUUCCUGGUCCCCCCUCUCCCAGCAUUCCUUUGUGAGUGGGUGGAAGGUUGAAUGGUCAUGUGCGAGUCCAAAUGGAGCAGAUGAAGGAAUGACUAGUACACAGUGAAUUUUGGUUUAAGGGGGAGGGCAGCUGUUCGGUCUUUCCCGGAAUGAGGGCUACCGUGUGAGGUAUCUGAGGUGGUUUGAAGGCCCUACCACGCGAAAAACGUGCCCUAGACAGCUGUCCUCUGCCGGAUCAGCUACUCUACUCAAGAGGCUGUCGUCCUUUUCUCGGGACCUAGAGGUUUUUUUAGAGGCCGAGCUGCUCUGUGGGCUGCUGGUGAGGUGGCGGGACAGGAAGAGGUGGGCGACCAGAGAAUUGCAUUUCCUUGUGCGUCUCCACUCCCUGCCCUCAGGUUAUCGAUUCAGCUCCUACUAAAACAGCACACACCCACGUGGGCUGGCGCAAUACACACACACUUGUUUGGCCGUGGACUCACACAUGAACAAGAAAUACACAUGUACGUAAUGCACUUGAUCCUCCGAGCUCUACAAAUAAAAAGCUUUUUGCGU